CAGAGGAUAGUUUAAUAAAGAUACUAGUUUUGGGGGCUAGUGAUGGGGGUUUGUUUCCCUCUCUUCUGA
RNAcentral lists this transfer RNA (69 nucleotides) under Plestiodon chinensis. RNAcentral's name for it is "tRNA-Pro". It matches the Rfam family "tRNA". From Rfam's summary of the family: Transfer RNA (tRNA) molecules are approximately 80 nucleotides in length. Their secondary structure includes four short double-helical elements and three loops (D, anti-codon, and T loops). The record is from RNAcentral. Lineage: Eukaryota; Metazoa; Chordata; Lepidosauria; Squamata; Scincidae.